Ictalurus punctatus (channel catfish) is the source of this 1166-nucleotide long non-coding RNA. NCBI's taxonomy places the organism in Eukaryota, Metazoa, Chordata, Actinopteri, Siluriformes, Ictaluridae. The record is from Ensembl.
CCCCCUUCUCCUAGACAUACACAUACCCACACACACUGAAUUUCUGUAGUCUUUUUUUAUGUGUGACUCCAGGCGGAUUAUUUGGUAUGAGAAACACAUAGCAGACAGCGUUCCCUCUGCUCUGCUUUCUUCUCACACAGAUCCACAGGACUUGAUGCUUGGCUUGGAGAGGCAACACCAACUGGCUGCUUUAGAGACUCGGGAAGCAGAAACAUAAAGCCUGCAGCACAAUGGUCAUUACACCUGAUAAUCAGUUCCUCCUGACCUCGGGGGAUUGCUCCCUCCUCAUCUGGAGGAUCACCGACUAGUGUUGAGCAUGGUAAAAAAAAACAAAAAAACACACACUAUACUGUAUUGAGUGGUUCAUCCGUACCCAGGCCAAGGAUAUGCAAUUACCUAUAUAUUCUUUGAAACUGAUAGAAUGAGCUUAACUUUAUAGUAGUAACUUCCACAGUGGUGUAGAGCUCCAGGGUCCCUGGUUCAGUCCUGAGGUCAUGUGACGGUCUGUGUGGUGUUUUGCAUGUUCUCUCCAUGGGUUUCCUCUACUUAGUAAUGUCUGUGCAACUAACAAAGGCUAUCUCGUUAUAUUUUAUAGUAACACAGUUGCUGGAUAAAACGCUCAAAGUUUCUGAUAUUUUUCUGUGUUAAACCAUGCAGGACCACAGUACACCAGAGGCAGAAGACCAGAUGGACAAGCUAAAUGAGUAUCAUAUGGACUGCAGGACAAAGCUUAACAAAGUCAGACAGAAUUUCCUCCAGGAGAUCGAGACUUUGAUAAGCCAAAUCCAGGUUAGACUAUGAGAUUUCAGUUCCCGAUCAUUUAGCUGUAAGGCCUCAUUAGUGAGACUAGGACAGUAGAUAAUGGUCAAUUUAUGAUUUGUGGGCUGAUGUAAUACAAUAGGUGUCAGUGCUGAAUCCCCCUAAUUUCUUUUCCUAGUAUUCUUACUAGUUAAAUGUACUAUAUGGGGGAAUAGAGAUUCAUCGGGAUUAGUACAUUUGGAGUGUUUACACUUUAGCUUGCAUCUUCUUCUCCACCUUCUCCCUACAGUAACAGGCCGAGCUGCUGAACUCUGAGGAGAUCCAGAAGGAGAUGAAGCAGAAAGUUGACUCUAAGCUCAAGGAAAUCAGCCACAAAUAUGAGAAACAGCUCCCGGAGGAGAAAGGGG